AAGCAGGAAAAAUUGGAGCCUUUUCUUUUCAUAUAUAUUAUAGGCCUGGAGCAAAUACUAGUAGCGAAUAUUGGCCGUAACUUGAAUUGUUGUUUGACUUGUUUAAAAAUAUGUAACUUAAUUAAAUAGGUCAGUGCCCUAUUUCCCCGUUUAUGAAGUCUUAGCAAUGCUCCCUUGUAUCGACCGAUCUGUGCCGUGUUUUCCGGCCUACAUCCGAGAGUUGAUAAUAUAGUGUUUUUCAUAGUUUUCAUUAUUUCUUAUUUGGAUUUCAACCGUAUAAUUAGUAUUAGGGUUUGGAAUCAAUUGAAAUCUAUUAUUCUAUUCGGUAUUUCAACCAUUAUUAUAAUUUAGACAAAUAUUAUGUCCAAGAUUUGUCUGGGCUUAGAACGGAUCAGUGGUUUCCAAACUUUUUAGAGUUGGGACCCACUAUUUAUUACCAAAGCUUAUGGCGACCCAUUGACGUUAUUUUAUUUUAUUUUGUUUUUUUAAGACAUAACACAGAACACAGCAAUGGCUAAUCAUCGCAAAACUAAUACGACAGUGGCAUUGGGUGACUGGUAUAGGCUUUGAGACGCAAAGAGAUUGUAAUUGCUCGCGCGUACCAGAUUACCUAAACGAAAAACUCGUUUCGCAGGCACAUUAUUCAAAAUUGGCACGUCUCCGCAGGCCGCACAAUUUUUCUUUGCGAACCGCACUUGACCCAUGGGCCGCAGUUUGCUCACCUCAGAUGGUGGUGAAGAGUUAUUCGACCUGACCAUAGCUGUAAACCCUCGUAUACCAAUUGUUUUGUAUCGAGCAUGUGUCAUUGGUUUCCCUUCACCAAAUCGAACCAUUUUUUUUAUAUACCCAUGAUCUGAUUUGGUAUACACUCGGUUGAAUAACACUGUCUAUUCUAUAUAGUCUAUCUGUCUAUCUAGUCUAUUACUCUCCUGAUUUUAUAAUCAGUUUUUAUUUAUUUGUUUUUACCAACCAUUUUAUCGCCUUUUUGCUGAUUAUGGAGUCGAAAUAAACUUAUCUUAUCUCUUUACUAUAUCUGAUCCAUUCGUUGCCGUGGAAGACUAUUGCGCUGCUGUAUAUACGAACAAUACACUCUACGUGUUGCAGUCAAGUAACAGUGACUCGGCCAUAUUAUGGGUAAUACGAUUUGUUUAAUCAUUUAAAUACUGACAAAAGAAAGCAAUUGGGCCUAGUUAAACGGCAGUAAUUAUACGUUAUCUUCGUCUAGAAUGAAGGCCGUAACUACUCAUUAAUUUAAUAUUGGGGUUAAUUAUUCUCGUCCGCGUGUGUAAAUUAGCAAACAAAAGCUUGGUGUAAUCUGAACACAUUUGGCGCCAAUAGCUUUUGUGAACAAAUUAUGUUCGGUACCUGACUUUUAGCAAUAGCUUCGCCGCGUUCCACGGCAAAAAGCUCUAAGCUCACUCCUAAACAAUUAAUCAACUCCAUGUAUGUUUAUUUGUCCCGCAAUAGUGAGCAAUAUAAAUAAAUUGACAAGUAAUAAUAUUGGAGACGGGAUGCACGCACAAGACCGUGCUGGCCUAAAGCACAAACGAGCGGCAUGCACCCCUUGAGACAAAUAUAAAACAUAAAUUAUUAGAAAAAAUACGUAUCAUAUGGUCCCUUAUACAGACAGUUGUGCGAAGUGAGGCGAUGGGUUGGUGUGGAGAGAGUGGUAAGGGAGAAGUAUACAAAGUUGUUUAUAAGACAAGACAAUACCGGUAUAUAUAAAAACACAACACCAAAUACACAUAUACAUAUUGAAGAAAUAAAAAUUUAGGCUUAAAUACAGCACACCCUUGAGUGGUGAGACCAUAUCAUAUGAAUGGGCGAAAUAUAAGAGGUAAAUGUGCGGUUCUUAUGCCUGUAUGGUAUGUGUCACUCAAGGGUGAUAAUAGUGUCUUUGAUAGAAUAUGGCUUAUUUUGCCAAAAUGUGAACCAUACGGGUUUUGGUUAAAUAUUGCAGUGUUGCGUAUCAAAUUCUUAGGUAUUCUUGUUCUAUUUAAAAAUUAAAGCCAAAUGUGGUAAAAAUUAAAGAAAAAUAAACUCAGUGAAAAGUAUUUCAACAAAACCUAUCAUGAUUGCAUUUUUGCCAAAAGAAAGAAAUGUGUAAAAAGAUAAGCAUUGUUUCCAUGUCAAGGAUUGCCCAAAAUGAAUUAAAAUCACAAUUGAAUAAUAUAGUUUCCUGGGGCUUUGGUGGUCGAUGACGAAGCAUAGAAGAUUUCGUAAAAUACAGCCAUUUAAAAAAGAUUCAAAAGCUGUUUUCUUCUAACAAGCACUGAUAUACGAUUUUGUUAUUACAAUUUCGCUUUACCUGAUGUCAAGAUUUUUCAUUCGUUGUUUUCUUCUAAUUUAUAUGCAUUUGUUCUUCGUACUUUCUGCCUCACUUUUUCACUGAACACUUCAAUUAUUUCUCCCGAUGCUAUUUUAUAUCCCGGACAUCUGCUUGCCACUAAACUUAAAGGUCAAUUUAUAUCUGAAACACUGUUUAAUGUUCAAAUAUAUUUAUAUACGGUAUCAUCUACUGUAACCUGUACAAGAGAUACCGGUAGGCUACCGUUUCCCGGUAAUGGUCAAAUGUAACUAUUUUCAUUAUGAAACCUAUUGUGUCAAUUUGAUUUAUUACACCUGACUCGCUUUAUCAGUGCACGCGGCCUAACACUUCACAUCGUAACUACGUGGACGGCUAGUUCACCUUCGAAAUUCCCCAAACUAAUUCCCGUAUAUCCGUUUGUUGAAUUAUUCGUACGGAUACUCACCUCCAAUACUUGGAGGGGCUAGAGUAUAAUUUUAUUCCAAUUUUCCUUAUUUUAGUUCUAUUACGAGUUCGGGGACUGUCUGUGUUAGCCAAGUGAAUAUCCUUCUGGCCAUAGGUUCCAGGCCCUUCACACUACUUGAUGUAAAUAAGCGGAAAAGAAUUAGUUACCCCCAUAUCGGUACAAACACUUCCGGAGCGCCGUUUUAAAACUCAAAAAUUAUAUACUUUUUGAAGUAGAUGAAUACACUUUUUGAAUGUCGCUGGUCGAUAGUCUUGGGAUUCUAUCAACCCUUCCCCAUUGAAACUGGGUAAUUACCACAUUCUCGUGAUUUGUGCUCAAUAAUAAUAAAUAAACUUGAUUUGACGUUAGGGAUUGUCUGCCUAGUACUGAAACAUUCCAUCUGUCAAAGUACGGUGCGUU
Non-coding RNA from Styela clava, 3173 nucleotides. NCBI's taxonomy places the organism in Eukaryota, Metazoa, Chordata, Ascidiacea, Stolidobranchia, Styelidae. The record is from RefSeq and is a predicted model, not a curated record.